RNAcentral lists this ribosomal RNA (440 nucleotides) under uncultured bacterium. RNAcentral's name for it is "partial 16S ribosomal RNA". It matches the Rfam family "Bacterial small subunit ribosomal RNA", at positions 338 to 795 of the family's 1533-position model. The record is from RNAcentral.
CCUACGGGUGACAGCAGUAGGGAAUAUUGCUCAAUGGGGGAAACCCUGAAGCAGCAACGCCGCGUGGAGGAUGAAGGUUUUAGGAGUGGAAACUCCUUUUGUUAGGGAAGAUUAUGACGGUAUCUAAAGAGUAAGCACCGGCUAACUCCGUGCCAGCAGCGGCAGUAAUACGGAGGGUGCAAGCGUUACUCGGAAUCACUGGGCGUAAAGGGGGAGUAGGCGGGGUAAUAAGUCAGAUGUGAAAUCCUGUAGCUUAACUACAGAACUGCAUUUGAAACUGUUACUCUGGAGUGUGGGAGAGGUAGGUGGAAUUCUUGGUGUAGGGGUAAAAUCCGUAGAGAUCAAGAGGAAUACUCAUUGCGAAGGCGACCUGCUGGAAUAUUACUGACGCUGAUGCACGAAAGCGUGGGGAGCAAACAGGAUUAGAUACCCUUGUAGUC